This 503-nucleotide ribosomal RNA is filed under the name uncultured bacterium. RNAcentral's name for it is "partial 16S ribosomal RNA". It matches the Rfam family "Bacterial small subunit ribosomal RNA", at positions 899 to 1397 of the family's 1533-position model. The record is from RNAcentral.
ACUCAAAUGAAUAGACGGGGACCCGCACAAGCGGUGGAGUAUGUGGUUUAAUUCGACGCAACGCGAAAAACCUUACCUAGGCUCGAACGACUGGGAGUAGAAUCUAUGAAAGUGGAGACGACCUGUAAAGUCAGGAACCAGCCGAGGUGCUGCAUGGUUGUCGUCAGCUCGUGUCGUGAGAUGUUGGGUUAAGUCCCGCAACGAGCGCAACCCCCAUCCUGUGUUGCUAACCCGAAAGGGUGCACUCUCAGGAAACUGCCCACGAUGAGUGGGAGGAAGGUGGGGACGACGUCAAAUCACCAUGGCCCUUAUGUCUAGGGCUACACACGUACUACAAUGGCCAGUACAGAGGGCCGCAAUACCGCAAGGUGGAGCAAAUCCUUAAAACUGGCCCCAGUUCAGAUUGUGGGCUGCAAUUCGUCCACAUGAAGGUGGAAUCGCUAGUAAUCGCGAAUCAGAAGGUCGCGGUGAAUACGUUCCCGGGUCUUGCACACACCGCCCGU